UACGUAGGGGGCAAGCGUUGUCCGGAUUUAUUGGGCGUAAAGAGCGUGUAGGCGGUUCGGUAGGUCCGUUGUGAAAACUCGAGGCUCAACCUCGAGACGCCGAUGGAAACCCCCGAACUAGAGUCCGGAAGAGGAGAGUGGAAUUCCUGGCGUAGCGGUGAAAUGCGCAGAUAUCAGGAAGAACACCCGUGGCUAAGGCGGCUCUCUGGGACGGUACUGACGCUGAGACGCGAAAGCGUGGGGAGCGAACAGG
RNAcentral lists this ribosomal RNA (253 nucleotides) under uncultured bacterium. RNAcentral's name for it is "partial 16S ribosomal RNA". It matches the Rfam family "Bacterial small subunit ribosomal RNA", at positions 524 to 776 of the family's 1533-position model. The record is from RNAcentral.